GGAAGGAUCAUUACCCAUCAUCCAGUGUGGUCGCGGCCUCCGGGUUCUUCCCGGGCGGUAGAGGUAACACUCUCACGCGCCACGCGUUUGAAUCCUUUUUUUUACGAGCACCUUUCGUUCUCCUUCGGUGGGGCAACCUACCGUUGGAAUCAUACAAAAACCUUUUUUGCAUCUAGCAUUACCUGUUCCGAUAACAAACAAUCGUUACAACUUUCAACAAUGGAUCUCUUGGCUCUGGCAUCGAUGAAGAACGCAGCGAAAUGCGAUAAGUAGUGUGAAUUGCAGAAUUCAGUGAAUCAUCGAAUCUUUGAACGCACAUUGCGCCCCUUGGUAUUCCAUGGGGCAUGCCUGUUCGAGCGUCAUCUACACCCUCAAGCUCUGCUUGGUGUUGGGCGUCUGUCCCGCCUCGGCGCGCGGACUCGCCCCAAAUUCAUUGGCAGCGGUCUUUGCCUCCUCUCGCGCAGCACAUUGCGCUUCUCGAGGUGCUUGCGAGGCCCGCGUCCACGAAGCAUUACCAGUCUUUGACCUCGGAUCAGGUAGGGAUACCCGCUGAACUUAAGCAUAUCAAUAAGCGGAGGAAAAGAAACCAACAGGGAUUGCCCUAGUAACGGCGAGUGAAGCGGCAACAGCUCAAAUUUGAAAUCUGGCUCCUUUUAGGGGUCCGAGUUGUAAUUUGCAGAGGGUGCUUUGGCAUCGGCGGCGGUCUAAGUUCCUUGGAACAGGACAUCACAGAGGGUGAGAAUCCCGUACGUGGGCGCCUGCCUUUGCCGUGUAAAGCCCCUUCGACGAGUCGAGUUGUUUGGGAAUGCAGCUCUAAAUGGGAGGUAAAUUUCUUCUAAAGCUAAAUACCGGCCAGAGACCGAUAGCGCACAAGUAGAGUGAUCGAAAGAUGAAAAGUACUUUGGAAAGAGAGUCAAAUAGCACGUGAAAUUGUUGAAAGGGAAGCGCUUGCAGCCAGACUUGCCCGCAGUUGCUCACCUAGGCUUUGGCCUGGGGCACUCUUCUGCGGGCAGGCCAGCAUCAGUUUGGGCGGUCGGAUAAAGGCCUCUGUCACGUAUCUCCCUUCGGGGUGACCUUAUAGGGGAGGCGUAAUGCGACCAGCCCGGACUGAGGUCCGCGCAUCUGCUAGGAUGCUGGCGUAAUGGCUGUAAGCGGCCCGUCUUGAAACACGGACCAAGGAGUCUAACAUCUAUGCGAGUGUUUGGGUGUCAAGCCCGAGCGCGCAAUGAAAGUGAACGGAGGUGGGAACCCUUUGGGUGCACCAUCGACCGAUCCUGAUGUCUUCGGAUGGAUUUGAGUAAGAGCAUAGCUGUUGGGACCCGAAAGAUGGUGAACUAUGCUUGAAUAGGGUGAAGCCAGAGGAAACUCUGGUGGAGGCUCGCAGCGGUUCUGACGUGCAAAUCGAUCGUCAAAUUUGGGCAUAGGGGCGAAAGACUAAUCGAACCAUCUAGUAGCUGGUUCCUGC
This 1465-nucleotide unclassified non-coding RNA is filed under the name uncultured fungus. RNAcentral's name for it is "sequence contains 18S rRNA gene, ITS1, 5.8S rRNA gene, ITS2, 28S rRNA gene". The stretch from base 523 to 1465 matches the Rfam family "Eukaryotic large subunit ribosomal RNA", at positions 1 to 961 of the family's 3401-position model. Lineage: Eukaryota; Fungi. The record is from RNAcentral.